RNAcentral lists this ribosomal RNA (468 nucleotides) under uncultured bacterium. RNAcentral describes it as "partial 16S ribosomal RNA". It matches the Rfam family "Bacterial small subunit ribosomal RNA", at positions 28 to 507 of the family's 1533-position model. The record is from RNAcentral.
GACGAACGCUGGCGGCGUGCUUAACACAUGCAAGUCGAACGAAGACGCCCGAGUUUGCUGGGGUUGUUUAGUGGCGAACGGGUGAGUAACACGUGAGUAACCUGCCCUUCACUUUGGGAUAACCUCAGGAAACUGGGGCUAAUACCGGAUAUGAGCUCCUGCCGCAUGGUGGGGGUUGGAAAGUUUUGUCGGUUGGGGAUGGGCCCGGGGCCUAUCGUUUUGUUGGUGGGGUGGUGGAUAACAAGGGCGUUGCCGGGUAGCCGGCCUGGGAGGGUGACCGGCCACACUGGGACUGAGACACGGCACAGCCUCCUACGGGAGGCAGCAGUGGGGAAUAUUGCACAAUGGGCGGAAGCCUGAUGCAGCGACGCCGCGUGAGGGAUGACGGCCUUCGGGUUGUAAACCUCUUUCCGCAGGGAAGAAGCGAAAGUGACGGUACCUGGAGAAGAAGCGCCGGCUAACUACGUG